GAUGAACGCUAGCUACAGGCUUAACACAUGCAAGUCGAGGGGAAACGAUAUUGGAAGCUUGCUUCUGAUAGGCGUCGACCGGCGCACGGGUGAGUAACGCGUAUCCAACCUGCCCAUCACUUGGGGAUAACCUUGUGAAAGUAAGACUAAUACCCAAUGACGUCUCUAGAAGACAUCUGAAAGAGAUUAAAGAUUUAUCGGUGAUGGAUGGGGAUGCGUCUGAUUAGCUUGUUGGCGGGGUAACGGCCCACCAAGGCGACGAUCAGUAGGGGUUCUGAGAGGAAGGUCCCCCACAUUGGAACUGAGACACGGUCCAAACUCCUACGGGAGGCAGCAGUGAGGAAUAUUGGUCAAUGGACGAGAGUCUGAACCAGCCAAGUAGCGUGCAGGAUGACGGCCCUAUGGGUUGUAAACUUCUUUUAUACGGGAAUAAAGUGAGGCACGUGUGCCUUUUUGUAUGUACCGUAUGAAUAAGGAUCGGCUAACUCCGUGCCAGCAG
RNAcentral lists this ribosomal RNA (499 nucleotides) under uncultured bacterium. Its description in RNAcentral is "bacterial SSU rRNA". It matches the Rfam family "Bacterial small subunit ribosomal RNA", at positions 28 to 514 of the family's 1533-position model. The record is from RNAcentral.